This 478-nucleotide ribosomal RNA is filed under the name uncultured bacterium. Its description in RNAcentral is "bacterial SSU rRNA". It matches the Rfam family "Bacterial small subunit ribosomal RNA", at positions 29 to 526 of the family's 1533-position model. The record is from RNAcentral.
AGUGAACGCUGGCGGCGUGCUUAACACAUGCAAGUCGAACGAUGAACCUAGCUUGCUAGGGGAUUAGUGGCGCACGGGUGAGUAAUAUAUAGUUAAUGUACCUCGAAGACUGGGAUAGCCAUUGGAAACGAUGAUUAAUACUGGAUAUACCUUCUAAACUCAAGUUUAGUUGGGAAACGUUUUUUCGCUUUGAGAUCAGACUAUAUCCCAUCAGCUAGUUGGUAGUGUAAGAGACUACCAAGGCAAUGACGGGUAGCGGGUUUGAGAGGAUGAUCCGCCACACUGGUACUGAGACACGGACCAGACUCCUACGGGAGGCAGCAGUGAGGAAUAUUGCACAAUGGAGGAAACUCUGAUGCAGCAACGCCGCGUGGAGGAUGACGCAUUUCGGUGUGUAAACUCCUUUUAUGAGUCAAGAAAAUGACGGUAGCUCAUGAAUAAGCACCGGCUAACUCCGUGCCAGCAGCCGCGGUAAUAC